UUUUAUGGUGGGCUGUUUGGGGGGCCUUGUGCCCGCCGUUCCCUUGUAGCGGUAGUUCCAACCCAAACUAGCCCGCCGCCCAA
This 83-nucleotide non-coding RNA is filed under the name Microbulbifer sp. THAF38. Lineage: Bacteria; Pseudomonadati; Pseudomonadota; Gammaproteobacteria; Cellvibrionales; Microbulbiferaceae. The record is from RNAcentral.